Molecule: non-coding RNA, 113 nt
Organism: Caerostris extrusa
Lineage: Eukaryota; Metazoa; Arthropoda; Arachnida; Araneae; Araneidae
Source: the annotation of a GenBank genome assembly
AACGGUCAUACGAUGCUGAAUAUAACGGUUCUCGUUAGAUCACCGAAGUCAAGCAUCAUAGGGCGCGGUCAGUUUUUUGGGUGGGUGGCCACCUGUUAACGCCACGUGCCGUU